RNAcentral lists this small nucleolar RNA (83 nucleotides) under Sorghum bicolor (sorghum). Its description in RNAcentral is "Plant small nucleolar RNA R71". It matches the Rfam family "Plant small nucleolar RNA R71", at positions 1 to 82 of the family's 107-position model. From Rfam's summary of the family: R71 is a member of the C/D box family of snoRNAs containing the C (UGAUGA) and D (CUGA) box motifs. Multiple nearly identical copies of this snoRNA have been identified in Arabidopsis, and it is thought to function as a 2'-O-ribose methylation guide for 18S ribosomal RNA. Lineage: Eukaryota; Viridiplantae; Streptophyta; Magnoliopsida; Poales; Poaceae. The record is from Rfam by way of RNAcentral.
AUUCCAUGAUGGGGACAUUCUAGGAUGUAGUCUUGGAAGCGCUCCCAUGCUUCUGGAACAAAUUCAUCAUGUUUGUUGACGGU